GUGUUUUAUCAGAUAUAAAACGCGAGGCGCAGCCGAGCGUUUUAUAUCUGAUAAAACACGACAACGAGUGUUUUGAAUAGCUUAAAAUACGACUACAAAAGAAUACUAAUUAGGAUGAACCAUAAUAUAAUCAUGCUAAUUAAGAUGAACAAUUAUAUAAUGCCACAUGUGUUUUAUCAGAUAUAAAGUCACUCCACGUGACAUAUUAUGGCUGACAUGAUUUGCCACAAGGUUUAUGAAUUAUUAAUGAGUAUUUUAAGUACUAUUUAAAACACGAGUAGGAGUGUUUUAUCAGAUAUAUAACGCGAGGCGCAGCCGAGCGUUAUAUAUCUGAUAAAACACGACAACGAGUUUUUUGAAUAGCUUAAAAUACGACUACAAAAGAAUACUAAUUAGGAUGAACCAUAGUAUAAUCAUGCUAAUUAAGAUGAACAAUUA
This is a non-coding RNA of Paramuricea clavata, 438 nucleotides long. NCBI's taxonomy places the organism in Eukaryota, Metazoa, Cnidaria, Anthozoa, Malacalcyonacea, Plexauridae. The record is from the annotation of a GenBank genome assembly.